AAAAGAUGGAGAUUCUAUGGUUAGGUCAACCUUAAUCGAGAGGAAUUGACUUGCGCUUAAAUUUCGGGACGAAAUUUCUUUAAGGAGGGUAGAUUGUAAUACCCGAAAAAUUCAAAUUAACGUCCGAUGUCAUUUUGGAAAUGAUUUCGUAGGCGUGGGCACGAAUACGAAGCUUGAAGGAGUUGUGGAAUUAGUUCGAACGAUUUUAUUUCGAAAACGAACGUUAUUUAGGGGGUCUUAAAAAGUGACUUCUUAUACGUACAGAAUUUGGGAAAACUUUCUUCAUGAAAGUUGUAGAGCUCGUCGAUACGAUCUCGUGCGUAUGUUGAACGCAAUAUUCGGAGUUUGUAUGAAUAAGUUAUGAAUAUUUGAAAAUCAGGAUUUUUUUUCUAUAAAUAUGGAGAAUUUCUGGAAUUUUUCUUAAAUCCCAAAAUUUCCUAUUUCUUUCUAUUUUCUCCCCCGGUUUUCUCUCUUCUCUCUCCUCUCCCCCGACCUUUUUCUCUUCUUUCUGGGCGUUCUUCCUCUGCCAGCAGCGCCACCGUCCGGCCACCUCAAGCCGCUCUCGAGGUGUCCACGGCUUCGCCUCGACGUCGUCUAGCUACUGGACGUGACCACUUUCCCCGGAACGGCCUCAAAUCCGGCAAACCGGAGCUGCAAGGUUUGAGCCAAAAACAGUCAACGCCGGUUUUCUCCUAAUUCCGGCCACCAAAACUCACGAUCCUUAGCUCCCUGAACUCACCUCAACAUGCCGAUCAUCAUCCUAGAAGGAUCGCACUUGGAGUGACCGGAUUCACGUUCGUCGGAGCUCGGCCGGCUUUAAUUCGAAAACCACCUUCGAAUCCGAUUUUCUCGAGUUAUAGACCACCUUUUCUUGUGAUUCUUGGCCUGGUGAGUUCACCUUGAGAUUAUUAACAACUCUCAAGAAGGGAUCGAGGCCUGAGGUUGAAGUUUUUACGUCGGAAUUCAAGCUCGCCGGAUUCUGGAAAAUUUCCGACCACGAAGACUUUCGAUCAAGAUAUCUCGAGCUGUAGUGCAUCGUUUUGAUUGAUUCUUUUUCCAGUGGGUUCCCCUUGAUGUUGUUAACAACUCUCUAGAAGGCAUCGAGGCCUGAAAUUGAAGCUUUGACGUCGAAAUCGAGCCUUGCCGGAUUCUGCAAAAUUCUGGAAUUUUUCCGACCACCGAAGCUUUCGAUCGGUAUAUCUCGAGCUACAGACCAUAUUUUUCUGUGAUUCUUGAACCAGUGAGUUCUUCUUGAGUUUCUUAACAACUCUUCAGAAGGAAUCGAAGCCUUAAAUUGACGUUUUUACGUCGAAUUGGAGCUCGCCGUUUUCUGCAGUUUCUCGCCGGUUUCUGGAAAAUUCCGGCCACAUUCAUACUGUUCAAGGUGAUUGACGGUUUGAGUUGGCGGACGAUUGUGAAUCGUAUUUUGAGCUGUUAAGAAGACGCAGCGGGAUUAGAGCGGGUAAUCCUACAGGACAGGAGAACCAGGACGGUGAUCGUGCGGUUAGAGCAAUGGUUAUAGUUUUACAGCAAUUGUAAUAGUGAGGCUAGUUAAGCUCAUUUGAGCCUUACAAUUUGAUUUGGUGGGA
Rosa rugosa (rugosa rose) is the source of this 1589-nucleotide long non-coding RNA. RefSeq lists it as uncharacterized. The record is from RefSeq and is a predicted model, not a curated record. Lineage: Eukaryota; Viridiplantae; Streptophyta; Magnoliopsida; Rosales; Rosaceae. The transcript is spliced from 3 exons.